Molecule: ribosomal RNA, 501 nt
Filed under: uncultured bacterium
Lineage: Bacteria
Description: partial 16S ribosomal RNA
Rfam family: Bacterial small subunit ribosomal RNA
Source: RNAcentral
AUUGAACGCUGGCGGCAUGCCUUACACAUGCAAGUCGAACGGCAGCACGGGUGCUUGCACCUGGUGGCGAGUGGCGAACGGGUGAGUAAUAUAUCGGAACGUACCUUAUUGUGGGGGAUAACGCAGCGAAAGCUGUGCUAAUGCCGCAUAAUCCCUAAGGGGGAAAGCGGGGGACCGUAAGGCCUCGCGCAAUUAAAGCGGCCGAUACCUGAUUAGCUAGUUGGUGAGGCAAAGGCUCACCAAGGGAACGAUCAGUAGCUGGUCUGAGAGGACGAUCAGCCACACUGGGACUGAGACACGGCCCAGACUCCUACGGGAGGCAGCAGUGGAGAAUUUUGGACAAUGGGGGCAACCCUGAUCCAGCAAUGCCGCGUGAGUGAAGAAGGCCUUCGGGUUGUAAAGCUCUUUUGUCAGGGAAGAAACAGCAGCUCUAACACAGUUUGCGAAUGACGGUACCUGAAGAAUAAGCACCGGCUAACUACGUGCCAGCAGCCGCGGUAA